This 237-nucleotide ribosomal RNA is filed under the name uncultured bacterium. Its description in RNAcentral is "partial 16S ribosomal RNA". It matches the Rfam family "Bacterial small subunit ribosomal RNA", at positions 99 to 334 of the family's 1533-position model. The record is from RNAcentral.
CGACCGGGUGAGUAACACGUGACUAACCUACCUUCGAGUGGGGGAUAACCUCGGGAAACCGAGGCUAAUACCGCAUAAUGUCCUUGGGUCGAAAGAUCUGAAGAUCAAAGCAGCAAUGCUCUUGAAGAGGGGGUCGCGGCUGAUUAGCCAGUUGGCGGGGUAACGGCCCACCAAAGCGAAGAUCGGUAGCCGGCCUGAGAGGGCGCACGGCCACACUGGAACUGAAACACGGUCCAG